UACGGAGGAUCCGAGCGUUAUCCGGAUUUACUGGGUUUAAAGGGUGCGUAGGUGGAACGUCAAGUCAGUGGUGAAAACCUGCAGCUCAACUGCAGACCUGCCAUUGAUACUGUCGUUCUUGAGUGUAUUUGAUGUAAGUGGAAUGUGUCAUGUAGCGGUGAAAUGCUUAGAUAUGACACAGAACACCCAUUGCGAAGGCAGCUUACAAAACUACAACUGACACUGAGGCACGAAAGCGUGGGGAUCAAACAGG
This 253-nucleotide ribosomal RNA is filed under the name uncultured bacterium. RNAcentral describes it as "partial 16S ribosomal RNA". It matches the Rfam family "Bacterial small subunit ribosomal RNA", at positions 524 to 776 of the family's 1533-position model. The record is from RNAcentral.